Molecule: long non-coding RNA, 1320 nt
Organism: Pan paniscus (pygmy chimpanzee)
Lineage: Eukaryota; Metazoa; Chordata; Mammalia; Primates; Hominidae
Source: Ensembl
AGAACCUAUAGAAUGAAUGGCCAUGAAUGAAUCAAUGGCCUGGGCAUUAUAUUCAGUAGACUAGAUCUCAGAAAGGAAAAAGGAGCAGCAUAAAAUACGGCCUUGGUCCAACAUUUUGACCACAGAGCAAAGUUAAAGAGGACCAGAGGAAACAUCUCCUUCAGUGGUGGAAGUAGUUUCAGCAGACACAAGAUAACCAAAAGUAUGACAUGCUGGGGACAUGAAAGACAUUUUAAAGGUCUCUGAGACUUGAUCAAUGACCACUUUCUUGGAGAGCCCCACACGGUGUAAUUUAUGCAAAUCCUGUGAAGCGGAGUCAUCUAUCUGCUCAGACAUGCAGAAAUCUUUCAGGAGAAGGGUGGGAGAUUUUUGGAGGAAAAGAAGUACCAGUGGCCAGGAAAGGAAUUACCUUAAGAAGGUAAUAUGUUGAUGGGAGGAGCAGAUGCCCUGGAGUAAAACUGUUUUCCAGAAGUUUCCUGUCCUAGUGUCCAACUGGAUAAUGAUGAGCAAUCCUUGAACUCCAUCAUGUGCCUCGUGGAAUAGAGUGUAUUGUAAAAAUGCAGCUCAGCAAAUGUCUCUCUUCAAAAAGUGGCUUUAAAACCUAGGACAUAUUUAGCCUACUCAGGGAAAAGAAACAAAAUAAAGCAUUCUAUAGCAGCCUUAUGACCCAUUGCUAAAGGAACCCAAAUCCACCAGCACAAGACACAGGAGUCAUUAUGAGGCAAACAGCAGUUAACCUGUGAGCUCUGAAGUCCUCUAGAGGCUGUGUGUGUGCAGUUGCCAUGGGCUGUGGAUGACCCAGGGUGUUGAGUGCCUGUUCAUUGCUCAACCUCUCAUCCUACAUCUCAUCAGUAAUGGAAUAAGUAGGCGAAAUCCUAUCAUCAAAAAUAAAACUCCUAGCCAGAGGGUCAGAACUAGAGGUGGUGGAGUGAACGCCGCACCAGGCAAUGGAAGAAGCACUGGCCUAGACCAAACUUAAGCGUGCACCACCAUCACCUGGAGGGCUUGUUCCAACACGGAUGGCUGGACCCACCCCCAGAAUUUCAGAUUUAUUAGGUCUGCACUGGGCCCUGAGAAUGUUUAUUUAAAACAAAUUCCUGGAUGCUACUGGUUCAGUUGCCACACUCUGAGACCCGCUGGCCUUGAGCUUAGAAGAUGUGGGUUUGAUUCCUGGAUUCCACAGUUUACUAGCUGUGAGUUAGAGAAUUUAAAUUACUUACCUGAGUCUUGGUUUCUUAUUUGCAAACUGAACUGUAAACUAUCUGUUCUACCCAUUUUAUAAGACUUUUGUAAGGAUAAAAUAAAAGAAUACAUAUGCAA